GAACAUGGCUGAGAAAGUAUCUGUGAAUGAAGAUAUCAAUUUCUACAGGCAUAUGUCAAGUAGUGGUAUAAUUAGGUCGUAUGGACUCCAGGGCAGUGAUCUAUGAUGGGACAGAAUGCCAGGUCCUGCGCAUGCUUAGGAAGUUUUCUACCCCUGAGUGACACCAUUAAUUUUUCUUUUAAAUCCUACAUCCUGAAGAAGAAUACAAGAAAAUGAGACCCUUGUUGCUGUAGUUUUCAAAAGACUGACAUGGUUAAUCUUGGAGAGAGAAGACCAAAGAGCCAGGUCUUGAACAAUCGGAGCUGCUCAGACUGCUGUUGCAGCUGCUGGAGAGAUAAGCACUUUGCAAGUGUGCUUCACCACUUCAUUUCCUUAUUUUAUGAAGGAGGCUUCUGCUUGUGUUUGACCUUGGGAUUUCAGGGCUUUUGGCUGGUUUUCUUUGCAGUUCUUUUGCAAAGCUCCUAAGAAUUUUAACACAGGAGAAAACUACUUGGAGUGCUCUCUCAUAUGCCAAUCCUGUCAUUUGUGCCAAUGUGCCCCAUUGUGACUCAGGGGAUGAGAACCCUGUUGGAGUCAUUUCUUCGGACUGUUGUAAGUGUAAAUAAAUCAUCCAUUUUCAGCCUGACCUUUAGGACGUCUCUCGGCUUCUUGACCACUCCGGCAUUUCUCCCACUGUUCCAGAGCCCUCAUCCAGUGGCUGAUGGAAGCAGAGACAGACACUCACAGAUAUACACUGAACUGAACUCUGGAAUCUAGUUGCAGAGAGGGAGGAAUGAAGAUCAAAGGGGUUGGUACCAGGCUGGUGAAACAGAAACAGCUGGCAUGAACAAGGGGGAGCAAUCGACCCAAGACUACUAUCUGGGAGGCCAGUACAGGACUGAUCCAGACCCCUGAACAUGGAUGUCAAUGAGGAGGCCUCUGUACUCUAGGGGGCCCCUGGUAGUGCAUUAGUGUUUUUCCCUGGUCUAAGAAGGGACUUUGAGAACCCAUCCCACGUGAAGGGAUGCACUCUUGGCCUGGACACAUGGGGAAGGGCCUAGGCCUGGCCUAGGAUGAUGUGGUGGACUUUGGGGAGCCCCUGUU
This 1083-nucleotide long non-coding RNA is filed under the name Cricetulus griseus (Chinese hamster). RNAcentral describes it as "lncRNA (ENSCGRG00015038191.1)". Lineage: Eukaryota; Metazoa; Chordata; Mammalia; Rodentia; Cricetidae. The record is from RNAcentral.